This 859-nucleotide ribosomal RNA is filed under the name uncultured soil bacterium. RNAcentral describes it as "bacterial SSU rRNA". It matches the Rfam family "Bacterial small subunit ribosomal RNA", at positions 8 to 916 of the family's 1533-position model. The record is from RNAcentral.
AGAGUUUGAUCCUGGCUCAGAGCGAACGCUGGCGGCAGGCUUAACACAUGCAAGUCGAGCGCCCCGCAAGGGGAGCGGCAGACGGGUGAGUAACACGUGGGAACGUACCCUUCAGUUCGGAACAACCCAGGGAAACUUGGGCUAAUACCGGAUACGUCCGUAAGGAGAAAGAUUUAUCGCUGAAGGAUCGGCCCGCGUCUGAUUAGCUAGUUGGUGAGGUAAUGGCUCACCAAGGCUACGAUCAGUAGCUGGUCUGAGAGGAUGAUCAGCCACAUUGGGACUGAGACACGGCCCAAACUCCUACGGGAGGCAGCAGUGGGGAAUAUUGGACAAUGGGGGCAACCCUGAUCCAGCCAUGCCGCGUGAGUGAUGAAGGCCCUAGGGUUGUAAAGCUCUUUUAGCGGGGAAGAUAAUGACGGUACCCGCAGAAAAAGCCCCGGCUAACUUCGUGCCAGCAGCCGCGGUAAUACGAAGGGGGCUAGCGUUGCUCGGAAUCACUGGGCGUAUAGCGCACGUAGGCGGCUUCUUAAGUCAGGGGUGAAAUCCUGGAGCUCAACUCCAGAACUGCCUUUGAUACUGAGGAGCUUGAGUCCGGGAGAGGUGAGUGGAACUGCGAGUGUAGAGGUGAAAUUCGUAGAUAUUCGCAAGAACACCAGUGGCGAAGGCGGCUCACUGGCCCGGUACUGACGCUGAGGUGCGAAAGCGUGGGGAGCAAACAGGAUUAGAUACCCUGGUAGUCCACGCCGUAAACGAUGGAUGCUAGCCGUUGGCGAGCUUGCUCGUCAGUGGCGCAGCUAACGCUUUAAGCAUCCCGCCUGGGGAGUACGGUCGCAAGAUUAAAACUCAAAGGAAUUGACGG